GCCUGGGUGGCUCAGUCGGUUGAGCGUCCGACUGCAACUCGGGUCAUGGUCUUAACGGUUUGUGAGUUCGAUCCCCGCAUCGGGCU
Molecule: transfer RNA, 86 nt
Filed under: Felis catus (domestic cat)
Lineage: Eukaryota; Metazoa; Chordata; Mammalia; Carnivora; Felidae
Rfam family: tRNA
About the family: Transfer RNA (tRNA) molecules are approximately 80 nucleotides in length.
Source: Rfam by way of RNAcentral